Molecule: long non-coding RNA, 834 nt
Filed under: Astyanax mexicanus (Mexican tetra)
Lineage: Eukaryota; Metazoa; Chordata; Actinopteri; Characiformes; Acestrorhamphidae
Description: lncRNA (ENSAMXG00005008366.1)
Source: RNAcentral
UCGCCAUGGAGACGCAGAAGCCACGGUUGGAGAAAAAGAUGUCAGAAAGAGAGCUAACUUAGCAGUUAGCUAGUUUAAAGUUUCUGUGUUAGAAAAACUCGGUGUUUUUUGUGUUUAUUAAGUGAACUGAGGCGUCGGGCAGUGUCUGUUUACCUAUUUAACUGGUUCUGAGCUGUAUUUGCCCUCUAACGUCGAGCUUUCUACUCUAAACUUGGACAUUUCCACUGGGCUAGCUGGCUAAGUUAGCUAGCUAACGCUAACUAGCGCUAACCAGCUUUAUGGAGCUGUAGGGAGUGUUAAAUGCCAUACAGAGGACAGUUGGAGCAAGAGCUGACAGAUUCAUUUCACUCCCAGCGGAAAUAACACAGCUGGACGGACGGAGAACUUGAACCUGCUGCUGUCAGCUGAGAGAGCUGCUGGUUAAGGUGGUGCGGAACUGAGAGAGCUGCUGGUUAAGGUGGUGCCGGACUGGGCGCUGCUGGUUAAGGUGGUGCGGAGCUGAGACAGGUGCUAGUUAAGGUCGUGCGGAGAUGGGCUGCUGCUGAGAGCUGAUUGUCUGAGCGCGCUGCACUGACUGAGGAUGCUGCGAGUGAUUAAAGCUACCAUCAGGCUCCCAAUAAAAGUGCAGCAGGAGGAGGUGGAGGGGGCAGGGUGUGAAACAGAGAGGCAAAACCUGCUACCAGCAAUAAACACCACGACAAAUGGAGGAAGAGCAAGAGGAAAAGCAAAAAAAACAAAAAAAAAGAGAUAAAAAGCAGAGGAGGAAACAAUGGAAAUAUUCCGCCCCUGCUGUCUUCAAAUAAAUGAUGUAGGGAAGUGUUGUUAAUAUUGUAU